Molecule: ribosomal RNA, 503 nt
Filed under: uncultured bacterium
Lineage: Bacteria
Description: partial 16S ribosomal RNA
Rfam family: Bacterial small subunit ribosomal RNA
Source: RNAcentral
AUUGAACGCUGGCGGCAGGCUUAACACAUGCAAGUCGAGCGGAGUGAUGGUGCUUGCACUAUCACUUAGCGGCGGACGGGUGAGUAAUGCUUAGGAAUCUGCCUAUUAGUGGGGGACAACAUCUCGAAAGGGAUGCUAAUACCGCAUACGUCCUACGGGAGAAAGCAGGGGAUCACUUGUGACCUUGCGCUAAUAGAUGAGCCUAAGUCGGAUUAGCUAGUUGGUGGGGUAAAGGCCUACCAAGGCGACGAUCUGUAGCGGGUCUGAGAGGAUGAGCCGCCAAACUGGGACUGAGACAAGGCCCAGACUCCUACGGGAGGCAGCAGUGGGGAAUAUUGGACAAUGGGGGGGACCCUGAUACAGCCAUGCCGCGUGUGUGAAGAAGGCCUUAUGGUUGUAAAGCACUUUAAGCGAGGAGGAGGCUCUUUUGGUUAAUACCCAAGAUGAGUGGACGUUACUCGCAGAAUAAGCACCGGCUAACUCUGUGCUAGCCGCCGCGGUAA